AUUCUGUGUAUCGACUAAAUAUACCCAUUCUGAGUACCUUGCCUGUUGCUUCCAUGGAGCCUGACACUUGUCACUCUGGGGAUUUACAUCCCGAGGGAGCCUCCGUGGAAGGUAAUCAAUUAACUCUUGAAUCCAAUGUCAUCUGUCUGAUAAUGUUUAUAACAAAUGUUAAAACUUUCAACAACGGAUCUCUUGGUUCUCGCAUCGAUGAAGAACGCAGCGAAAUGCGAUAAGUAGUGUGAAUUGCAGAAUUCAGUGAAUCAUCGAAUCUUUGAACGCACAUUGCGCCUCCUGGUAUUCCGGGAGGCAUGCCUGUUCGAGCGUCAUUAAAUACCACUCAAGCUCUUCUGCUUGGUCAUGGAAGAAGAGUAUGCUUGCAUCCUCUCUUCUGAAAUCGAAUGGCGGACUGCCUCAUGUGCCUCGCGUAGUAAGUUCAUCUUUUCGCUUGGAGUGUGAGAUAGUCUCGCCAUCAACCCCCAUACUUCUAAGGUUGACCUCGGAUCAGGUAGGGAUACCCGCUGAACUUAAGCAUAUCAAUAAGGCGGAGGAA
Molecule: ribosomal RNA, 550 nt
Filed under: uncultured fungus
Lineage: Eukaryota; Fungi
Description: eukaryotic LSU rRNA
Rfam family: 5.8S ribosomal RNA (bases 173-326)
Source: RNAcentral